GGAUUCCCCGGAAGCGCUGGCGCAUCGCGACGCCCCGAGUCGAGCUCGCUCACCGAUGGAAAUUCCGGCCGUCCAGCCGCACUACCACCCAGCAGUGUGCCAGGCAGGUGUCGUCAGCCUCGAAGUCCCUCACGUACUCGAACUUGCUUUUUGCCAUGGUCGCCCCCAAUCUCAGGUACCGUCUCAGAGUGAUGGAAAUGGUGGCCAAGGAAUCGUGAACCUUAACUUUACAGGCGCCCCACAUUCUACACGCGGAAAGGAAAGGGCCAGAUAGCCCCGCCCCGGAAGUGUUCUCUUCGCGGCUACUCUAGCCGUAGGGCAGUCAUAGUCUCUCUCGCCUCUCCCUGUAGUUCUUAACCUCCCAGGCAAAGAGGAUGGAGGUUUAGGUUCCUCCGUUAGCACCUUCCACGCUUGCUUCUUCCUCCUCCCGUCCUGCGGCAAAUCAGUCUCACGAGGUUUUUAAAAAUUAUUUUUUAUCUGCUGGUCUUGACUUACUGGCAAAAGCAAUCAGUGUCCCCGUUAGUGCCCAGAUCAAAAUCAUACCCCAACCUAAAAAAAAAAAAAAAAAAAAAAAUUCUUUUUCUGGUGUUUGAAGGUGUAGCUGUGAUGUUUCCCCUUUUCUUAGUGGCAUUUAUUAACUUGUAGAAAAUCUGGAAUACACCAAAACUAUAGUUAAGAAAAUUAACACUUUGUUUCUCCGUCUUUCCCAUCAAAGCAUUGUGGAUGGUUCCUUUCAGUCUUUUUUCUUUUUGUGUAUGUAGGUUUACACAGGGAAUGCACAAGAUUGGAAUUAUUCGCCUAUACAAUGUUUAUAUAUUUUUCCACUCAGCUUGAGCAUUUGCCAGUAUCAUCAAUUAUUCCAAAGUGUGAUUUUUAAAAGAAAAAUGGACUCAAUAUUCCAACAUAUGGGUAUACUAAAUUGAUUUAUUCAACUUUUUCACCAUUAAAUAAUCACAGAACCAGUGUUUGAUAUCUUGUUGCUGGUGGAUAAUAGUAAAAAUAAAAUCCUAAUAUUUGUGUCAUACUUUGUGAUUUACAAAGCUCUUUCAAAUUCAUUACCUACUUACUUACUUUUUUUUUUUUUCCAUCCUCAAGAAAGAUAUUCAGGCCAGGCACGGUGGCUGACGCCUGUAAUCCCAGCACUUUGGGAGGCAGAGGCAGGAGGAUUGCUUGAGUUCAGGAGAUUCAUACCAGCCUUGGCAACGUAGCAAGACCCCUGUUCCUACAAAAAAGAAAAAAAAUUAUCCAGGCUUAGUAGCCCAUGCCCGUAGUCCUAGCUAUGGGAGGAUGAGGUGGGAAGAUACUUGAGGCCAGGAGUUCGAGACUGCAGUGACCCAUCAUUAGCCACUGCACUCCAGCCUUGGUGACAGAGCAAGAAUCUGUCUCUAAAGAAAAAGAAAAAUAUUCAAACAAUAUAAAUCCUUUUAUAUGUAGCAAAAAGUCUCUCACUGACUCCUAACAACAUACUUUAGGCAGUUACUGUUACCAGUUUUUUGUGUAUCCAUACAGGGAUCUAUAUCAGUAUGUGUGUAUAUCCUCAUAAUAGUACCACAAAUGGUAGUCAUCACUCCUUUGAUGCUCAGAGUAACAUCAGAGGGAUGCAAAAGAGGAACUGGGAUUUCACCUUUACAAAGGGGAAAUCUGAGACUCAAAGAGAAAAAAAUAAUUUACAUAAGGUCACAUAUGUGGCAGGACCAAGACAUAAAUUAUGACAUCCUGCAUCUUUUCUUUGUUUCUGUUGCUGUGAAGUCAGUUUUCUGUAGGUUAUCAUUCCUCACCUUUUACUUCCACAAACUCCUCUCUCCAAGCUGACCAGGAGACAACCAAAUCUUGCCUCCUCUAGGAGCCCUACUUUCAUUAGGUGAAUUUUUCAAAAUUACUUAUCAAUAUGAAUUCAUGAUUUUUAUUUUUUUUAUGUGUAUGUUUUCGAGACAGAGUCUCACUGUCACCUAGGCUGGAGUACAAUGGCAUGAUCUCAGCUCACUGCAGCCUAGACCUCUUGGGUUCAGGUGAACCUCCCACCUCCCUUCCUAGUAGCUGGGACUACAGGUGCGUGCCACCAUGCCCACCUAAUAUUUGUAUUUUUUUUUGUAGAAACAGGGUUUCCCCAUCCACAUCCCACACUGGGAGAUGAGACUCCUAUCAGGGAUGGGCUGAAUAUAAAAUAAGCCAAUUGGCUUUGGGUUGCUUUGCAGUGAAAUGCAUAGUAGAAGUACUACACUGUCUUCUCCCAUAGCAUCUAUAUGGUCUUUACAUAAAUUAAGCAUUAAAAUAACAGCAUAGCAAGGAGGUCUUAAGAUGCUAAUCUGCCCUUUAGUAAAAGGGUUAUAAAAGGUUUGUAAAGUUUUCACCUCAUGGUCAAAUUGGUUAGGAUUAAAUGGAAUAAUCUAUAAGGUUUCAUGUAAAUGAAUUGGGGUUAACAUUAAUAAAUUAAUGCAAGGGUAAAAUUUUGCUUUGAACAAAAUUUUCAUGUCAUAGUAAAGGCUAAUGAAAGGUUUUUGCCUUUUGAGUCAUCAUUUUGGCAAAAUAAUUUAUGGCAAUCUGGAAAUUGUCCCUCCGGAUACCUGACUUUUUGGUUGGUUCAGAGGGCCCCAAAACAUUCAGAAAAGAGAUAAAUAGGAUCAUUUGACAUGUUUAGUCAUAAGAGAUUGCCAAAAUGAUGUCCAAUCUUCUUUAAGUUAUAUUUUGAUGAAUAAUACUAAUAUAUGUUCCAAAAUUGUAUGGGAUUUCUAAAAUUCUAAUGUCUAAGUAUAGCUAUCAAUCAUAUUACCCUCAAUCAAUUAAGGGUAAAGUUAUUGUAAACCAUGAAGAUAAGUAAACUUCGUCAGUCAUAUUUUUAACUAUCCUGGAAAUUUUUCAUUCACAGACAAUUGUUGUCUUGCUUUGUUCCUUCUCAAAAGAUGGUUUAUAAUCAAGCUAUGUGAAGGAAUUUAACAGGUGUUCUCAAAUGCAGGUUUUUAAUAGCUUUAAAGAUUGUAACAUUGAAAUAAAGAAUGUAGGGACUCAGAAAGAACUGACAUAUUGACAAAUGUCAAGCAAAAUAAAAGUUUACUAAGUGGACUACACUCAGAAAGUUAAAGCAACCUUUUUAACCUUUGCUUGGAAUAUUGUCGAUCUUUGUUUUGAUUUUCAGAGUCAAGGAAAGUUAUUUUAAACUAUUUAUGGACUUUAAUAAUUGAGUAAGUUAUACUGUGAAGAAAACUUGGAGCAUGUUUAUUUUUCUCUGCCUGGUUCCUCUAGAAUUUGGAAAUUAUCUGUGAGUACUCUUAACUUAUGGGAAUAUAGUUGUUCAUCUCAGUGCAAUCAGAAUCCAUUUUUCUUUGUAAACAGGACACAGUUGGAAAAACUGGUUAUUUUACCAGGGAUUUGACUGAAAGGGUGUGUUUCCCUUUAAGGAAUCAAGCUUGACAUGCAAAGCCAAUAAAAGCCCCUUGGGGAGAAAUGGCCUCAUACCUUGUCUGCACAGUCCCCACACAGGGUUCCUAACCUGUGGUCAGUAAAGAAUGUCACUUUCUAACAGGUCUGGAAGCUCUGAGUUUAUCUUGGGACCUCAAGAGGGGAGGAUCACCCAACUCACAGGUAUUAGAGGAUAAAAACCCAUGGCUGGGCUCAGCUUUAAAAGUCUUAUCUGAAGGCCAGGCACAGUGGCUCAUGCCUGUAAUUCCAGCACUUUGGGAGGCUGAGGUGGGUGGAUCACUUGAGGUCAGGAGUUCAAGACCAGCCUGGCCAAUAUGGUGAAACCCCAUCUCUACUAAAAAUACAAAAAGUAGCUGGGCAUGGUGGCAGGCGACUGUAGCCCCAGCUACCAGGGAGGCUGAGGCAGAAGAAUCACUUGAACCCGGGAGGCGGAGGUUAUAGUGAGCCGAGAUUGCACCAUGGCAUUCCAGCCUGGGUGACAGAGCAAGACUCCAUCUCAAAAAACAAACAAACAAAAGUCUUACCUAAAAUUCCUUGAGGAACAGAGUUUUAUCAAAGCCAAUCCAAAAGGCCUAUGUCAAAAUAACCAUUCUUGCUGCACUUUAGGCAAAUAAUCAGGCCAAGUAUAAGACUAAAGUUUAUUCAUAAUUAGUUUUUACCAAAAUGAGGACUGGAGAGAAAAACUUUGCUCCAAAGCUUAUCAUACAUUUGUCAUUAAAUCCUAGUCUCAUUAUUGUUUUUAAGCUUUUUGCCUACAAUUUAGCCCUGCUUACUCCUGUGAAUCAAGUGGUGAUCUUCUGCAGCUUGGGGAAAAAAAAAAGGGAUGGGUAACAUAAAAAUGUGAAUCAAUAUGCUAGUUCUGGGCAAUUAUCUUGCAAAUUCUGCCAGGUAAUGAAAGUGAGUAAGGUGCCCAUAACCUGGAGGUUUCUUUGUUUGCGAAAAUAAAACCAAGGAACUUCAUAGACCCCCAAAGGGGAAUUCUAUAUCUUGGCAAGUAAAAUUUUAGAUGGAAAUUACCUGCCACACCACACUUGUGGGAACUGCUGUCCUCACUCUACUAUUUGCAUUAGGGUUAUACAUGGUAGCACCUUCUUUUUUUUGUUUUAUUUUUUUAAAUUUUAACUGAUCCUUCUGAUAGAUUUUUUUAAAAAUUAUUAUACUUAAAGUUCUAGGGUACAUGUGCAUAAGGUGCAGGUUUCUUACAUAGGUAUACAUGUGCCAUGUUGGUUUGCUGCACCCAUCAACUCAUCAUUUACAUUAGGUAUUUCUCCUAAUGCUAUCCCUCCCCCAGGCCACUAUCCCCCAACAGGCUCCAGUGUGUGAUGUUCCCCACCCUGUGUCCAAGUGUUCUCAUUGUUCAGUUCCCACCUAUGAGUGAGAACAUGCGGUGUUUGCUUUUCUGUCCUUGUGAUAGUUUGCUGAGAAUGAUGGUUUCCAGCUUCAUCCAUGUCCCUGCAAAGGACGUGAACUCAUCUUUUUUUAUGGCUGCAUAGUAUUCCAUGGUGUGUAUGUGCCACAUUUUCUUAAUCCAGUCUAUCAUUGAUGGACAUUUGGGUUGGUUCCAAGUCUUUGCUAUUGUGAAUAGUGCCACAAUAAACAUAUGUGUGCAUGUGUCUUUAUAGUAGCAUGAUUUAUAAUCCUUUGGGUAUAUAUGCAGUAAUGGGAUGUCUGGGUCAAAUGGUAUUUCUAGUUCUAGACCCUUGAGGAAUUGUCACACUGUCUUCCACAAUGGUUGAACUAAUUUACACUCCCACCAACAGUGUAAAAGCAUUCCUAUUUCUCCACAUUCUCUCCAGCAUCUGUUGUUUCCUCACAUUUUAAUGAUCACCAUUCUAACUGGCGUGAGAUGGUAUCUCAUUGUGGUUUUGAUUUGCAUUUCUUUGAUGACCAGUGAUGAUGAGCAUUUUUGCAUGUGUCUUUUGGCUGCAUAACUGUCUUCUUUUGAAAGUGUCUUGUUCGUAUCCUUUGCCCACUUUUUGAUGAGGUUGUUUUUUCUUGUAAAUUUGUUUAAGUUCUUUGUAGAUUCUGGAUAUUAGCCCUUUGUCAGAUGGGGAGAUUGCAAAAUUUUUCUCCUAUUCUGUAGAUUGUCUGUUCAUUCUGAUGGUAGUUUCUUUUGCCGUGCAGAAGCUCUUUAGUUUAAUUAGAUCCCAUUUGUCUAUUUUGACUUUUGUUGCCAUUGCUUUUGGUGUUUUAGUCAUGAAGUCCUUGCCCAUGCCUAUGUCCUGAAUGUUAUUGCCUAGGUUUUCUUCUAGGGUUUUUAUGGUUUUAGGUCUAACAUUUAAGUCUUUAAUCCAUCUUGAAUUAAUUUUUGUAUAAGGCGUAAGGAAGGGAUCCAGUUUAGGCUUUCUACAUAUGGCUAACCAGUUUUCCCAGCACCAUUCAUUAAAUAGGGAAUCCUUUGCCCAUUUCUUGUUUUUGUCAGGAUUGUGAAAGAUCACAUGGUUGUAGAUGUGUGGUGUUAUUUCUGAGGGCUCUGUUCUGUUCCAUUGGUCUAUACAUCUGUUUUGGUACCAGUACCAUGCUGUUCUGGUUACUGUAGCCUUGUAGUGUAGUUUGAAGUCAGGUAGCGUGAUGCCUCCAGCUUUAUUCUUUUUGCUUAGGAUUGUCUUGGCUAUGCAGGCUCUUUUUUGGUUCCAUAUGAACUUUAAAGUACUUUUUUCCAAUUCUGUGAAGAAAGUCAUUGGUAGCUUGAUGGGGAUGGCAUUGAAUCUAUAAAUUACCUUGGGCAGUAUGGCCAUUUUCACAAUAUUCUUCCUAUCCAUGGGCAUGGAAUGUUCUUUCAUUUGUUUGUGUCCUCUUUUAUUUCGUUUGGCAGUGGUUUGUAGUUCUCCUUGAAGAAGUCCUUCACAUCCCUUGUAAAUUGGAUUCCUGGGUAUUUUAUUGUCUUUGCAGCAAUUGUGAAUGGGAGUUCACUCAUGAUUUGGCUCUUUGUCUGUUAUUGUUGUAUAAGAAUGCCUGUGAUUUUUACACAUUGAUUUUGUAUCCUGAGACUUUGCUGAAUUUGCUUAUCAGCUUCAGGAGAUUUAGGGCUGAGACGAUGGGGUUUUCUAAAUAUACAAUCAUGUCAUCUGCAAACGGACAAUUUGACUUCCUCUUUUCCUAAUUGAAUACCCUUUAUUUCUUUCUUGUGCCUGAUUGCCCUGGCCAGAACUUCCAACACUAUGUUGAAUAGGAGUGGUGAGAGAGGGUAUCCUUGUCUUGUACUGGUUUCAAAGGGAAUGAUUCCAGUUUCUGCCCACUCAGUAUGAUAUUGACUGUAGGUUUGUCAUAAAUAACUCUUAUUAUUUUGAGAUACGUUCCAUCAAUACCUUGUUUAUUUAAAGUUUUUAUUGAGAGUUGUUUAUUGAAAGUUUUUAGCAUGAAGGGCUGUUGAGUUUGUUGAAGGCCUUUUCUGCACCUAUUGAGAUAAUCAUGUGGUUUUUGUCUUCGGUUCUGUUUAUAUGCUGGAUUACGUUUAUUGAUUUGCAUAUGUUGAACCAGCCUUGCAUCCCAGGGAUGAAGCCGACUUGAUUGUGGUGGAUAAGCUUUUUGAUGUGCUGCUGGAUUCAGUUUGCCAGUAUUUUAUUGAGGAUUUUUGCAUCGAUGUUCAUCAGGGAUAUUGGUCUAAAAUUCUCUUUUUUGUUGUGUCUCUGCCAGGCUUUGGUAUCAGGAUGAUGCUGGCCUCACAAAAUGAGUUAGGGAGGAUUCCCUCUUUUUCUAUUGAUUGGACUAGUUUCAGAAGGACUGGUACCAGCUCCUCUUUGUAUCUCUGGUAGAAUUCGGCUGUGAAUCCAUCUUGUCCUGGACUUUUUUUGGUUGGUGGCUAUUAAUUGUUGCCUCAAUUUCAGAGCCUGUUAUUGGUCUAUUCAGGAAUUCAACUUCUUCCUGGUUUAGUCUUGGGAGGGUGUGUGUGUCCAGGAAUUUAUCCAUUUCUUCUAGAUUUUCUAGUUUAUUUGCAUAGAGGUGUUUAUAGUAUUCUCUGAUGACAGUUUGUAUUUCUGUGGGAUCAGUGGUGAUAUCCCCUUUAUCAUUUUUUAUUGCGUCUAUUUGAUUCUUCUCUCUUUUCUUCUUUAUUAGUCUUGCUAGUGGUCUAUCAAUUCCGUUGAUCUUUUCAACAAACCAGCUCCUGGAUUCAUGGAUUUUUUGAAGGUUUUUUUGUGUCUCUAUCUCCUUCAGUACUGCUCUGCUCUUAGUUAUUUCUUGCCUUCUGCUAGCUUUUGAAUGUGUUUGCUGUUGCUUCUCUAGUUCUUUUAAUUGUUAUAUUAGGGUGUCAGGUUUAGAUGUUUCCUGCUUUCUCUUGUGGGCAUUUAGUGCUAUAAAUUUCCCUCUACAAACUGUUUUAAAUGUGUCCCAGAGAUUCUGGUAUGUUGUGUCUUUGUUCUCAUUGGUUUCAAAGAACAUCUUUAUUUCUGCCUUCAUUUCAUUAUGUCCCCAGUAGUCAUUCAGGAGCAGGUUGUUCAGUUUCCAUGUAGCUGUGUGGUUUUGAGUGGGUUUCUUAAUCCUGAGUUCUCAUUUGAUUGCAGUGUGAUCCGAGAGACAGUUUGUUGUGAUUUCUGUUCUUUUACAGUUGCUGAGGAGUGCUUUACUUCCAAUUACGUGGUCAAUUUUAGAAUAAGUGCAAUGUGGUGCUGAGAAGAAUGUAUAUUCUGUUGAUUUGGGGUGGAGAGUUCUGUAGAUAUCUAUUAGAUCUGCUUGGUGCAGAGCUGAGUUCAAUUCCUGGAUAUCCUUGUGAACUUUCUAUCUCGUUGAUCUGUCUAAUGUUGACAGUGGGGUGUUAAAGUCUCCCAUUAUUAUUGUGUGGGAGUCUAAGUCUCUUUGUAGGUCUCUAAGGACUUGCUUUAUGAAUCUGGGUGCUCCUGUAUUGGGUGCAUAUAUAUUUAGGAUAGUUAGCUCUUCUUGUUGAAUUGAUCCCUUUACCAUUAUGUAAUGGCCUUCUUUGUGUCUUUUGAUCUUUGUUGGUUUAAAGUCUGUUUUAUCAAAGACUAGGAUUGCAACCCCCCCUUUUUUUCUUUUUUUUGCUUUCCAUUUGCUUGGCAGAUCUUUCUCCAUCCCGUUAUUUCAAGCCUAUGUGUGUCUCUGCAUGUGAGAUGGGUCUCCUGAAUACAGCACACUGAUGGGUCUUGACUCUUUAUCCAAUUUGCCAGUCUGUGUCUUUUAAUUGGGGCAUUUAACCCAUUUACAUUUAAAGUUAAUAUUGUUAUGUGUGAAUUUGAUCCUGUCAUUAUUAUGUUAGCUGGUUAUUUUGCCUGUUAAUUGAUGCAGUUUCUUCAUAGCAUCGAUGGUCUUUACAAUUUGGCAUGUUUUUGCAGUGGCUGGUACCAGUUGUUCCUUUCCAUGUUUAAUGUUUCCUUCAGGAGCUCUUGUAAAGCAGGCCUAGUGGUGACAAAAUCUCUCAGCAUUUGCUUGUCUGUAAAGGAUUUUAUUUCUCCUUCACUUAUGAAGCUUAGUUUGGCUGGAUAUGAAAUUCUGGGUUGAAAAUUCUUUUCUUUAAGAAUGUUGAAUAUUGGCCCCCACUCUUUUCUGGCUUGUAGGGUUUCUGCUGAGAGAUGUGCUGUUAAUCUGAUGGGCUUCCCUUUGUGGGUAACCUGACCUUUCUCUCUGGCUGCCCUUAACAUUUUUUCCUUCAUUUCAACCUUGGUGAAUCUGACAAUUACGUGUCUUGGGGUUGUUCUUCUCGAGGAGUAUCUUUGUGCUGUUCUCCGUAUUUCCUGAAUUUGAAUGUUGGCCUGCUUUGCUAGGUUGGGGAAGUUCUCCUGGAUAAUAUCCUGAAGAGCGUUUUCCAACUUGGUUCCAUUCUCCCCAUCACUUUCAGGUACACCAAUCAAACGUGGAUUUGGUCUUUUCACAUAGUCCCAUAUUUCUCAGAGGCUUUGUACAUUUCUUUUUACUUUUUUCCUCUAAUCUUGUAUGCUCACUUUAUUUCAUUAAUUUGAUCUUCAGUCGCUGAUAUCUUUUCUUCCACUUGAUCGAAUCAGCUAUUGAAGCUUGUGCAUGCAUCACGAAGUUCUCGUGCCAUGGUUUCCAGCUCCAUCAGGUCAUUUAAUAUCUUCUUUACACUGUUUAUUCUAGUUAGCCAUUUGUCUAACCUUUUUUCAAGGUUUUUAGCUUCCUUGCAAUGGAUUAGAACAUGCUCCUUUAGCUCAGAGAUGUUUGUUAUUACCGACCUUCUGAAGCCUACUUCUGUCAACUCAUCAAAGUCAUUCUCCAUCCAGCUUUGUUCUAUUGCUAGCAAGGAGCUGCGAUCCUGUGGAGGAGAAGAGGCACUCUGGUUUUAGAAUUUUCAGCUUUUCUGCUCUGGUUUCUCCCCAUCUUUGUGGUUUUAUCUACCUUUGGUCUUUGAUGUUGGUGAUCUACAGAUGGGGUUUUUGGUGUGGAUGUCCUUUUUGUUGAUGUUGAUGUUAUUCCUUUCUGUUUGUUAGUUUUCCUUCUAACAGUUAGGUCCCUCAGCUGUAGGUCUGUUGGAGUUUGCUGGAGGGCCACUCCAGACCCUGUUUGCCUGGAUAUCACCAGUGGAGGCUGCAGAACAGCAAAUAUUACAGAACAGCAAAUAUUGCUGCCUGAUCCUUCCUCUGGAAGCUUCGUCCCAGAGGGUCACCCACCUGUAUGAGUAGUCUGUCGACCCCUACUGGGAGGUGUCUCCCAGUUAGGCUACAUGGGCGUCAUGGACCCAUUCAAGGAGGCAGUCUGUCUGUUCUCAGAACUCAAACACUGUGCUGGGAGAACCACUGCUCUCUUCAGAGCUGUCAGACAGGGAUGUUUAAGUCUGAAGAAUUUUCUGCUGCCUUUUUUUCAGCUAUGCCCAGCCCACAGAGGUGGAGUUCUAUAGAGGCAGUAGGCCUUGCUGAGCUGUGGUGGGCUCCACCCAGUUCGAGCAUCCAGGCCACUUUGUUUACCUACUCAAGCCUCAGCAAUAGCGGACGCCCCUCCCUGCACCAGGCUCCAGCCUGGCAGGUGGAUCUCAGACUGCUGCGCUAGCAGUGAGCAAGGCUCCAUGGGGGUGGGACCCACUGAGCCAGGCACGGGAGAGAAUCUCCUGGUCUGCCAGCUGCUAAGACCAUGGGAAGAGCCCAGUAUUUGGGCGGGAGUGUCCUGUUUUUCCAGGUACAGUCUAUCAUGACUUCCCUUGGCUAGGAAAGGGAAAUCCCCUGACCCCUUCUGCUUCCCAUGUGAGGUGACGCCCCACCCUGCUUCGGCUCUCCCUCUGUAGGCUGCACCCACUGUCCAACCAGUCCCAAAGAGAUGAACCAGGUACCUUAGUGGGAAAUCACUCGUCUUCUGCGUCAAUCACACUGGGAGCUGCAGACCAGAGCUGUUCCUAUUCAGCCAUCUUGGAACAGACCUCCCAUGGUAGCAUCUUUAAACUGAAAUAUUGGACAGAGAGUUUCCAUUGCUGUAGUAUUUUGCUUAAUUAUUAUCUUUAUAGCAGGGAUAAUAGUUGACAAAAAGGAAGCAUGAAAGUUUUACCAUCACUGAGUCUGCUAGGCCUUUUUUGGGGUUUAGUAAUGCAGUUUUAAAUGAAACAUGCUGCUUUUGGAUUAACACCGCUAGUAAAGUAGAGGAAAAUCUACAGGUACUUAAAAAUCAAAUCAGCUGGGCAUGGCAGCUCAUGCCUGUAAUCCCAGCACUUUGGGAGGCUGAGGCAGGCAGAUGACCUGAGGUCAGGAGUUCGAGACCAGCCUGGCCAACAUGGUGAAUUCCUGUUUCUACUAAAAGUACAAAAAAUUAGCCGGGCAUGGUGGCACGCACCUGUAAUCCCAGCUACUCAGGAGGCUGAGGCAGGAGAAUUGUUUGAACUCGGGAGGCGUAGAUUGCAGUGAGCCGAGAUCACACCAUUGCACUCCAGCCUGGGCAACAACAGCAAAACUCCAUCUCAGAAAAAAAAAAAAUCAAAUCAUAAUUAUUGACAGGCUCAGGAAAAAUGACAGCUUCAGCUCUGAGUGGCUACAAUCCCUUUUUAAUAAAUUCCAGUCUUCUUUAUGGAAUUGGUUAACCCCUUUUUUAAGCACUCUCUUGCUUAUAUGUCUUGUAUUGAUAUUUGGAGCCUAUAUACUCAAUACUAUAACUCAAAUUGUUUCUUCUCACCUAGAAGCAAUCAAACUCCAAACGGUGCUGUAAACUGAAACACACAUGGAGAUGCCAUUCUUCUGAGGACCCUUAGAUCCACCCCAGGAGGAGCCCUAGCUGCUGUUCCCCCAUGUGACUCCCCUUUUCAGCAGAAAGUAGCCAGAAAGAACCAUAACCCAAAACCCUCUAACAGCAGUUAGUGUGGCAUCUCCAUAGCGGGGAAUGUUGUAGGAAGAGAGGUCCUUGGGAAGUUUUCUUUUUUUCUUUUUUUUUUGAGACAGAGUCUCACUCUGUUGCCCAGGCUGGAGUGCAGUGGCGCAAUCUCGGCUCACUGCAAGCUCCGCCUCUCAGGUUCACCCCAUUCUCCUGGCCCAGCCUCCUGAGUAGCUGGGACUACGGGUGCCCACCACCACACCCGGCUAAUUUUUUUUUUUUUUUUUUGUAUUUUUAGUAAAGACGGGGUUUCACUGUGUUAGCCAGGAUGGUCUCUAUCUCCUGACCUCGUGAUCCUCCCGCCUCGGCUUCCCAAAGUGCUGGGAUUACAGGCGUGAGCCACCGUGCCUGGCCAAGGGAAGCUUUUGUUUUUUAAAGCAUCUCUGGAAAAGUUUCUCUUAAAUCCCUGGCUCUUAGCAGCAGCCCACCAACCUUUGAUAUGCAAAUACUGACCAUUAGAAAGUGGGCCCACCCAAACAUGGAGAUUCCUGUGGCCUUCCUGCCCUUUCCCCACAUGUUCCUGGCAACAUGGCCACCUCCAAAUAUCCCCAGGAGUGUAGAACAUCAUGGCGCCCUACAUUUGCAUAUUAAAAGGCUAGGGUGGGAGGGUCAGCUUUUUUACAGGCUACGUGAAUGUCAUGCCUAGUCAAACCAAUCCCUUGAGCCCUGUGCAAAUCAAACACCACCUCCAGCCUCUGCAUAUAUACCUGGCUGGUGUCCCUGCCAGGUGGGGACCUCCUCUUUCAGCUUUGGAGCCCCCAUCCCUGUGUCUCUGUAUGGGGGAGCUUCUUUCUUCUGUCUUCUCCCUUCCUUCUUACCUAUUAAACUCUCCGCUCCUUAAAAGCAAAAAAAAAAAAAAGAAAGAAAGAAAAAACAGGGUUUCCCCAUGUUAACCAGGCCGGUCUCCAACUUGUGGGCUCAAGCUAUCCGCAUGCCAAAGCGCUGGGAUUACAGGUGUGAGCCACUAUGCCCGGCCCUGAAUUCAUGAUUUUUAAAAAUGUAUUUUCCAGGCCCAGUGCGGCGGCUCAUGCCUGUAACCUCAGCACUUUGGGAGGCCAAGGCGGGCAGAUUGCUUGAGGCCAGGAAAUUGAGACCAUCCUGGCCAAUGUGGUGAAACUCUGAGCUAAAAAUACAAAAAUUAGCCUGGCAUAGUGGGGCAUGCUUGUAAAUCCCAGCUGCUCGGGAGACUGAGGCAUGAGAAUCGGUUGAACCAGGGAGGAGGAGCUUGCAGUGAGUUGAGAUCUCACCACUGCACUCCAGCCUGGGCGACAGAUCCAGAUAAUGUCUCAAAAAAAUAAAGUGUAUUUCCCAGCUCUGUCCAUUGGGUGGAGAUAAAAUGACACUCCAGAAGCAGUAAGCAUCCAGAUCUUAACUUCAAAUUACCAUUCCCCAUGAAAAUGAAAAUAAACUCCUUGAAGAAAUGGCUGGCUCCACAUUGUGGCAGAGGAAAUUCUAGGCGAGCCUGGGACACUGUGUUGUCCCAGAAAGGAAGGAAAUGCUCAGACUAAUGAGUGUAUCUCAAAAAAGAUGAGCCAGCUUAAAGGGGUUCCCACUGGCCAAAUAUGCGAUAAUUUGGGCAUUGAUAAAAAUAAUAACUAUAAUUGAUUGCAAUUGUAUUGCAAUUGUAUUGAUAGUGCCUGUAAUCUUAGCUACUUGGGAGGCUGAGGCAGGAUAAUCGUUUGAACCCAGGAGGCAGAGGUUGCAGUGAGCCAAGAUAGCACCAUUGCACUCCAGCCUGGGUGACAAGAGCAAAACUCCAUCUUAAAAAAACAAAACAAAACAAAAACACACACGCCAAAAGAACAUAAUCAGACAUAUUCAGGAUGCAGGGUAUUAUGUAAGAUCACUGACUUGGCUUCUUCAAAAGUAAAUUUUAUCAAGAAGAACAAUAUCUUUGAACAUGUGUCCUAGGAGAAAAAAGGAAAAUGAAAAAGGAGGAGAAACAGGGAAGAAAGAAAAGGUAAGUGGAGGGCUGGGCAUGGUGGCUCACGCCUGUAAUCCUAGCACUUCGGGAGGCCAAGGCGGGUGGAUCACUUGAGGCCAGGAGUUGGAAACAAGCCUGGCCUUGAUGGGGAAACCCUGUCUCCACUGAAAAUAUAAAAAUUAGCCAGCUUGGUGGCUCAUAUCUGUAAUCCCAGCUAUUCAGGAGGCUGAGGGAGGAGAAUUGCUUGAACCUGGGAGGCAGAGUUUGCAGCAAGCCAAGAUUGUGCCACUGCACUCCAGCCUGGCCAACAGAGCAACACUGUCUCAAAAAAAAAAAAAAAAAAAAAAAAAUAGAAAAGGUAAGUGGGGACUGUUCCAGAAUAAGAGAUUUAAGAGACAUAACAACCAAAUACAAUGCAAAACUCUUGACUGGAUACUGGCCUAAAAACCAUUAAAAACAGCUCUAAAUUCACUGGGGAAAUCUGCAAUUACAAACAACCCUAGGUUUUAGUGGUUUGUAAAACAAAAGUUUAUUUCCUGUUCAAGUCACUUGUACUGCCAGUUGACUAUGGUUAUAUUCCUGAUAGCUGUUUUGAUCCCUGUGUCUUACCCCAAAACCCAGGAAAUGAUUAGAAAAGCUUCUACACCGCACAAUGUGCAUCUUGCUGCUCACAAUAUGUUUGCUGAAGCAAUAUGGCCAAGCGCUAAGAUUAUAGGGGAAGAGUGUGUCAUCUUCCCAUAGAGAAGAGGAAAGUGAAUACUUUUGAGUAAUAAUAUAAUCUAUUGCCACUCUUUAUUAGUGGAUACUAGGGAAUUUUAAAUUUUACAGGUAUGAUAAUGUAGUGUGUAAAAGACUAAUCUUAGGAGACACACUAAGAAGUAUUUAGGGAUGAGAUAGUAACAGUAAAAAAGUAGAUUGGUAGUAAAAGCAAAAGUGGCAAACUGUUAACAACUAUUGAAUCUAGUGGUGGUUUUAUGGGUAUCCAUUAUAUAUUUUUUUAACUUUUCUACAUGUUCUGGGUGGAAUUGUGACUCUCCUAAAAUAUGUUGAAGUCCUAACCCAUAUAUCUGUGGAUGUAACUUUAUGUGGAAGUAGGGUCUUUGCCCUAUUGGCUACUGUAAGCAAUUAAAAUGGGGUCAUUAGGAUGUGCCUUUAGCCCACUAUGACUGGUUUUCUUAUAAGAAAACAGAGACACACACAGAGAGGAAGAAUGGCACCUGAGGAAGGAAGCAGAGACUGGAGUGAUGCAUCUACAAGCCAAGAAAGGUCAAGGAUUGUCCUUGACAAGGCUGAGGCAGGAGAAUCCCUUGAGCUUGGUAGGUGGAGGUUGCAGUGAGCUGAGAUGGUGCCACCGCACAGAGACAGGGUAAGUCUCUGUCUGAAAAAUAAUAAUAAUAAUAAUUGAGAUCACAGAUUUGGACUGCAGAAACUGAGCUUUAAAUUAUCAAAGUGACAGGAAGAUUAGGAAAUCUGCCAAAUGUCCGUUAAGGAUGAACCAGAAUGAUUUGACAGGGCAUAUUUGAAUGAACUGAUAGAAUAAACAUAAUAGAUCAAUAUUGAACUAAGAUGAAUCAGGAAACUGGUUAUGGUAAAGAUAACUGCCAUUUUUUUGAGCACUCGCAAAUUGCUAUGUGAUGCUGCAUAAACCUUGUACAGGUCAUCCUUUUUCAUCCUCAGAAUAAUCCAUUUUACAAAUGAGAAAACAAACAGAGGCUUAUAGGGAUUAAAAGUCUGCACUUUUAGCCACAACACUCUCCUGCUCCAAUAAAAUAGUUAGCACAUGCUAUGUCCCUGGUGCUGUGUUAAGCACUCAGGAUACAUUUUCUAGACCCAUCCUCUCAGCCGCCUUGUUGAGAAGCAUUAUUCUCCUUACUUAUCAGAUACCUACAAGAGAUACAAUAACUUCCUGCAGUACUAUAUAUGGGAACCAGGGAAGCUGGGAGACUCAUCCAGAUCACUGUCUUUACAGGUGAAUUCUACCUAGAUCCUACCUACUCUCAGGGUUCUGACAGGUGGAGAAGAUAAGACGAUUAUACUGCAAGGGAAAACAUGGUGGGUGUCAUAGAGUUCCCACAGACAAAGUACCAUGAGAAUCCCCAGGAAGAAUGUUAUUGAAGGGGAAAAGUAAACCCUAAAUUUCUUUGAAACUCACAAACCCUUUUGUAAAAUUCUGCACACAGGGAAUAUAAAAUGGUGUAGCUGCUAUGGAAAACAGUAUAGCAGCUCCUCAAAAAAUUAAAUAUAGGGCUGAGCAUGGUGGCUCACACCUGUAAGUCCAGUGCUUUGGGAGGUCGUGUGUGGAAGACUACUUCAGCCCAGGAAUUCAAGACCAGCCUGGGCAAUAUAGCAAGAUCCCAUCUCUAAAAAAAAAAAAUUAAAAACAACCGCUGGGUGCGGUGGCUCAUGUCUGUAAUCCCAGCGCUUUGGGAGGCCGAGGCCAGCAGAUCACGAGGUCAAGAGUUGGAGACCAGCCUGACAAACAUAGUGAAACUCCGUCUCCACUAAAAAUACAAAAAUUAGCUGGGUGCAGUGGCGCAUGCCUGUAAUCCCAGCUACUCAGGAGGCUGGGGCAGGAGAAUUGCUUGAACCCGGGAGGCGAAGGUGGCAGUGAGCCAAUAUCGCACCACUGCAUUCCAGCCUGGGCGCCAGGGCAAGACUCCAUCUCAAACAAACAAACAAACAAAAAAUUGAAUUACCAUUGGUCCUGCAAUUUCACUUCUGGGUACAUAGCCAAAAGAAUUGAAAACACAGUCUCAAAGAGAUAUUUGUACAGCCAUGUUCAUAGCAGCUUUAUUCACAAUAGCUAAAAUGAAGAAGGAGCCUAAGUGUCUAUUAAUGGAUGAGUGAAUAAGCAAGAUGUGGUAUGCAUACACAAUGAAAUAUUAUUCAGCCUUAACAAGGGAUGAAAUUCUGACACAUGCUACCACAUGAAUGAAUCUUGAGGACAUUAUGCUCCAUGAAAUAACCAAGUCACAAAAAGACAAAUGCUGUGUGAUUGCACUCAUAUGAGGUGCCUACAGUAGUCAAAUUCAUAGAGGCAGAAAGUACAAUGGUGGUUGCCAAGGGGUUGGGGAGAAGGGAAUAGGGAGGUGUUACUUGGUGGGUACAGAGUUUCUAUUUUAUAAGGUGAAAAGGGUUCUGCAGAUUGGUUCAUAACAAUGUGAAUGUAGUUAACACUACUGGAUUGUAUACUUAAAAUGGUUAAGAUGGUAAAUUUUAUAUCCUGUGUAUCUUAGCAUAAUUAAAAAUAAAUUAAAAAUCUUCACACAACAGGUAUUUAUGACCUAACUGGACCUCUAUUUUUAUUUUAUAAAUUUUCUGUUACUUAGAAGAUCACUUGCUCACUGCAGGCUGACACAAAGAAAAAUAAUUUCCUUUGGCAUAGAAGUCAUUUUUCAUUUGACUUGAUGCUGACUCAUUUGGUUUGUGCUAAAAGCUGCAUUAUGUAAAUGAAAUUUACAUAAUGGAUGGUGAAGAGGGGAAAGAAGAAGGAAUAAUUUGUGUCUAAAAUCUCCUUUCUCCUCUGAACCACUCUAAUCUAAUUUCUGGCUUGGAGUAAUGUAUGUGAUUCCAGGAAUGACUGCCUAGGUCUGUCUUGGUUUUGAGGCAGAUAUAAGCAUUAGGACAUACCAGGAUAUACAAGGGUAUAAAAUUUAGAACUAUUAUUCCAGAAUAAGUUUAUGAUUACAGGGAGUUAUAAUUAUUAUAUUUGUCCUGCAUUUUUUAGGCAUUGCUUACAUAGGUCAGGGUGAAUGGAUUUUAUUUCUAAAGAGUCAUUGAUUGUGUGUCCUUAAAAGGACACGUUCAAGUUAACUACUCAUUCUUUCUCUACUUAACAGGGGUUCCAGAAGUCAGAGGAUGUGGUUGAUGGAGGGCUUGGAAAAAGAUGUUAGGAAAAGAGAAAGAGGAAAUUAAAUGUAUGUUGCCUAGUCCCACUUGACCUUGUUCCAUUUAAUUCCACAAAUGUUCUCAUUCAUUUAACAAGUAUUUCUUGAUUUAUUUCUAUGUACCAUGCACCAAGGCUAUCACGCAACAGCAAACAAGACAGCCAUGCUGCCUGCCUGGUGGGGUACACGGUCAGUUGGGAAAGACAGACCUGAUGACAAUUGUGUGAAGUGUUGUGAAUCAGGCUGGAGGCCUGGCGCUGGGGGCAGGUGUGGCUGGGGAUAGUCCAUGAAGUUUCCCCUGAGGAAGCAGUACUUAAAUUGAGACCCAAUAAUGAGAUCAUAAGACAGCAUGCUUACAGGUUUCUGGAAUAUUUGAAUUGUAAUGUUGGGUGAAUGUUUUGCCACAACAUUUUGCUUGUAUAAGACUUUGGAAAGGAACCCUGAGUAGUGUGAAUUUCUAUAUCAUGGGUCAGCCAAUGAAUAAACACUGAUUGAGCACCUUCAAAGUGUGAGGGCACUGGAUGAUGUGUGAGGUGUCUGGGCCAACUGAGAAUCAUUUUGAUAUUUCAGAUAUCCAGGACUGAUUAAAUGGAAGAGAUAGACAAAAGACAAAAAAAAAAAAAAAGAACUUUUGUGUCCAUAGGUACUGACUAGGAGGAUAUCAUUGAUAAUAAUUAUACCUUCUGGACAUAAGAAACUUAUUCCAAACCAUAUUCUCAUACGUUAUUCAUUUUUUUCCUCUCUCAAUGAGUCUGUAGGGCAGGUAAGACAACAGUUUUCUCCAUUUUAUAAGAAAGGAAACAAAUGUUGUGGGGAUUAGUUAAGUGAUUUGCCCAAUGUCCCACAACCUUCCAAACUAGGAUUAGAACCUAGGCCUUUUGACACCAAAUCCAAGGUCCCCUCCACUCUGCCACCUUGCCUUUCCAUGCCUGUCAGGAAUGAAGUAGAUAGCUGUUGUCUUUGCAUGCCCAGCAUUUCAUUUUUCUGACUUUGGACCAGGGAAGCCCAACUGUCCUUUCCCCACCUUCAGGCCAUGUAGUCCAGGUGGAGAUAAUCCCUCCUCACCUGUUGCUCCAGGGUGAGCACACGGCCAAGACACUGUCAUGUCCUAGUGUGAACUGGACAAAGAUCCCUCUCUCCUGUCACACACAGUCCUGCACCAGGAUAAAGGCUUGGUGAAUGCAGCCUUCGCUGGAUUUCAGCCCCUGCUUGUCCUUUUUUACAAUGAACAACCUGCACAAAUAUUUGUGGCCUUCCUAAUGACUGAGACCUAGCCAGUAAGGUUCUGAGAUGUGGAUCUGACCCAAGCCAGGUCAAUGAGACAGUCUGGCCCUUUGCUAGGAUGACGAGGAAAGACAGGCUCUCUUCCCAUUAGAAUUGUUAACACUGGUGGCCAUGUUGCCUUCAAAAGGGAAGAGACCACCCAAGAUUUCAGUUUACAGAAAGGAAAGAAAAUAUGACAGAGGGAGAAAAAAACUGUGAUAACAUUGAGCACCACACUUGGAGCCAGUGCUACCCCUGGACUCAUAAGUUCCUGGAGAGGGGGACUUUGCUUAAUAUUUUUCAAAUCUGAAUCCCUUAUGCCUAGAACAGUGCCUGACACGAAGGAAGCAAUCAAUAAAUAUCUGUUGAAUAAUUGAGCUGAUAAAUUCCUUUUUUGUUUUUCUUUUUUGUAUAUGUAACUGGUUUGUUGGAAGUCUCAAUUCAUUGGGGAGUAUAAAUAAAAAGUAACUUUAUUUUUCCCAGUAACUGUUCUCUCAUGUUCUCCUUUCUUACUGGUUAGCAAUUUCCUUGGAGCAUGGCUAGGCACGGUGGCUCAUGCCUGUAAUCCCAACACUUUGGGAGGUUGAGGUGGACAAAUUGCUUGAACCCAGGAGUUUGAGACUAGCCUGCACAAUGUGGCGAGAUCCUCUCUCUCUCCCCACCUCCAAAAAAAAAGAAAACAAACAAACAAAAAAACCCAAAAACAAAAACCCAGAAUCUUGAACAGAUCCCACAGCUUCCCAGGUAGAAAAAUGUUCUAGUAUUUGUGUUCAAGAUUGGUUAGCAGGUGCGGUGGCUCAUGCCUGUAAUCUCAGCACUUUGGGAGGCAGAGGCAGGUGGAUCACUUGAGGGAGGCCAAGAGUUCAAGACCAGCCUGGCCAACAUGAUGAAACACUGUCUCCACUGAAAAUACAAAAGUUAGCUGGGUGUGGUGGCACAUGCCUCUAAUCCCAACUACUCGGGAGGCUGAGGCAGAGAAUCGCUUGAACCUGGGAGGCGGAGGCUGCAGUGAGCCGAGAUUGCACCACUGCACUGCAGCCUGGGCGACAGAGGGAAACUCUGUCCCCCCCAGCAAAAAAAAGAGAGAAAAGAAAAGAAUCCGGCUGUGGUUUGAAACAUAAACAAAGGUGAAGAAAACCUGGAGGUGGCUAGGCUACUGAGAAUUUAUUUUGUUAUUUCAGAUGCAAUACCGAUUAAAAGGAAGA
Molecule: long non-coding RNA, 19952 nt
Filed under: Homo sapiens (human)
Lineage: Eukaryota; Metazoa; Chordata; Mammalia; Primates; Hominidae
Description: non-protein coding lnc-SOX30-3:3
Source: RNAcentral